This is a long non-coding RNA of Rhipicephalus microplus (southern cattle tick), 560 nucleotides long. RefSeq lists it as uncharacterized. The record is from RefSeq and is a predicted model, not a curated record. Lineage: Eukaryota; Metazoa; Arthropoda; Arachnida; Ixodida; Ixodidae.
AGCCGUCUUUUGCGAAACGAACGCCUCCUAACCCGCGAGACAGCUGGCGUGUAGCACAGGGAUCGCACGAUAUAUGCACCCCUGUAUUCGUUUCGGCGUCUCAUUGCUGUAUACACUUGCCGAAACACCCCCUGCACGACGACGUCACCCAGACGGUGAACAGCCAUGAACCAGUUCACGAAGUGCAGGAUGAAUCAAAUGGACACAAUUCUUCGAAGGGUGCACUCCCCAGUACAUUCUGUACGACACGACUGGCUUGGCCCUUCAUUUCAUUUAAAACAACAAAUGAAAAUUUUGUAUCAGUACCCGUUGGGUACCCAUGCCUUAUUUUUUUUUUUUUUUGAGCGUGUAUGCAUGUUAUUAGUUUUACAACUGGGGAGCAAAAGCCUGUGAGUGCACAAGCUACGGAGUUCUUGUGUACUUUACCCGCUUCAUUAUGUUCGCCUGUUACCUCCAAGAAGAGCAAAAAAGAAGCGAGGGAUUUCGGAUAUUCAAUGGAUCUAUAUGUAUCCCUGGAACUGGAAUACAUUAUUUACGAAAUAUAUGAUGAUACUAUUCCG